This 405-nucleotide ribosomal RNA is filed under the name uncultured Eubacteriales bacterium. Its description in RNAcentral is "uncultured Clostridiales bacterium partial 16S ribosomal RNA". It matches the Rfam family "Bacterial small subunit ribosomal RNA", at positions 355 to 774 of the family's 1533-position model. Lineage: Bacteria; Bacillati; Bacillota; Clostridia; Eubacteriales. The record is from RNAcentral.
UGGGGAAUAUUGGGCAAUGGGCGCAAGCCUGACCCAGCAACGCCGCGUGAGGGAAGAAGGUCUUCGGAUUGUAAACCUUUGUCCUUGGGGACGAAAAAAAUGACGGUACCCAAGGAGGAAGCUCCGGCUAACUACGUGCCAGCAGCCGCGGUAAUACGUAGGGAGCAAGCGUUGUCCGGAAUUACUGGGCGUAAAGGGUGCGUAGGCGGUCUUUUAAGUCAGAUGUGAAAUAUUCAGGCUCAACCUGAAGGGUGCAUUUGAAACUGGAGGACUUGAGUGCAGGAGAGGCAAGUGGAAUUCCUAGUGUAGCGGUGAAAUGCGUAGAUAUUAGGAGGAACACCAGUGGCGAAGGCGACUUGCUGGACUGUAACUGACGCUGAGGCACGAAAGCGUGGGGAGCAAACA